UAGCUCUACUAAGAGAGGUGUUCCUCCU
RNAcentral lists this small RNA (28 nucleotides) under Bombyx mori (domestic silkworm). Its description in RNAcentral is "ovarian small RNA-22503". The record is from RNAcentral. Lineage: Eukaryota; Metazoa; Arthropoda; Insecta; Lepidoptera; Bombycidae.